CAGUCGAACGGUAACAUAAAGAAGCUUGCUUCUUUGAUGACGAGUGGCGGACGGGUGAGUAAUGCUUGGGAAUCUAGCUUAUGGAGGGGGAUAACUACGGGAAACUGUAGCUAAUACCGCGUAGAAUCGAGAGAUGAAAGUGUGGGACCUUCGGGCCACAUGCCAUAGGAUGAGCCCAAGUGGGAUUAGGUAGUUGGUGAGGUAAAGGCUCACCAAGCCGACGAUCUCUAGCUGGUCUGAGAGGAUGGCCAGCCACACUGGGACUGAGACACGGCCCAGACUCCUACGGGAGGCAGCAGUGGGGAAUAUUGCGCAAUGGGGGCAACCCUGACGCAGCGACGCCGCGUGAUUUAGAAGGCCUUCGGGUUGUAAAAAUCUUUUGUAUGGGAAGAAAAUGACAGUACCAUACGAAUAAGGACCGGCUAAUUACGUGCCAGCAGCCGCGGUAAUACGUAAGGUCCGAGCGUUGUCCGGAAUCAUUGGGCGUAAAGGGUACGUAGGCGGAUAAGCAAGUUAGAAGUGAAAUCCUAUAGCUCAACUAUAGUAAGCUUUUAAAACUGCUCAUCUUGAGGUAUGGAAGGGAAAGUGGAAUUCCUAGUGUAGCGGUGAAAUGCGCAGAUAUUAGGAGGAAUACCGGUGGCGAAGGCGACUUUCUGGCCAUAAACUGACGCUGAGGUACGAAAGCGUGGGUAGCAAACAG
Molecule: ribosomal RNA, 700 nt
Filed under: uncultured bacterium
Lineage: Bacteria
Description: bacterial SSU rRNA
Rfam family: Bacterial small subunit ribosomal RNA
Source: RNAcentral